GAUGAACGCUAGCGGCAGGCCUAACACAUGCAAGUCGAGGGAGAGGUUAUCUUCGGGUAACCAAAACCGGCGCACGGGUGCGUAACGCGUAUACAAUCUGCCUUUCACAUAGGGAUAGCCCGAAGAAAUUUGGAUUAAUACCUAAUGGUAUAUAGGAGCGGCAUCGUUUUUAUAUUAAAGCUACGGUGGUGAAAGAUGAGUAUGCGUUCUAUUAGCUAGUUGGAGAGGUAACGGCUCCCCAAGGCGACGAUAGAUAGGGGUUCUGAGAGGGAUGUCCCCCACACUGGUACUGAGAUACGGACCAGACUCCUACGGGAGGCAGCAGUGAGGAAUAUUGGACAAUGGUCGGAAGACUGAUCCAGCCAUGCCGCGUGCAGGAUGAAGGUCCUAUGGAUUGUAAACUGCUUUUGUAAGGGAAGAAUAAGGAGUACGUGUACUUUGAUGACGGUACCUUACGAAUAAGCAUCGGCUAACUCCGUGCCAGCAGCCGCGGUAAUACGGAGGAUGCGGGCGUUAUCCGGAAUCAUUGGGUUUAAAGGGUCCGUAGGCGGGCUGAUAAGUCAGAGGUGAAAGCGCUUAGCUCAACUAAGCAACUGCCUUUGAAACUGUCAGUCUUGAAUGAUUGUGAAGUAGUUGGAAUGUGUAGUGUAGCGGUGAAAUGCUUAGAUAUUACACAGAACACCGAUAGCGAAGGCAUAUUACUAACAAUUUAUUGACUCUGAUGGACGAACGCGUGGGGGGGGACAAGAUUGGAUACUUGGCGUGGCAAUGGAAGGUUGCAUACCGCAUUGGGGUGCGGGCCGGGGGACCUCUAGUUCUAGAGCGGCGCGCCACGGGAGCUCAAUUCUACAUAAAGUGAGUAGUAUAACGCGCGCUCCUGGUCGUACAUUACAAAGUU
RNAcentral lists this ribosomal RNA (898 nucleotides) under uncultured Streptococcus sp. Its description in RNAcentral is "bacterial SSU rRNA". It matches the Rfam family "Bacterial small subunit ribosomal RNA". Lineage: Bacteria; Bacillati; Bacillota; Bacilli; Lactobacillales; Streptococcaceae. The record is from RNAcentral.